GCACUCCAGCCGCAGGAGCGAAGAGGAGCCGAGCUAGAUGCACAUGGGCGUGGGGACUUCCGUACACACCAACCCACAAGGUUAGCAGGUAACUCUCUGGGAUGGUAACUGCGCCCAGGCAUGGAGGGUGGGGUAGCGGGUGGUGUCUCUGACUCCCCCCUCCCCACGCCCAGCCCUUACCCUUCCUCCACUUAUGGGCCUCAUCCCAGUCCUGGGGCGUCCAGCGCAGCCUCAAACCCAGGGCAUCUCCGCACUCUUAUUGCGACACCGCUCUGGAUGCUG
Molecule: long non-coding RNA, 282 nt
Filed under: Mus pahari (shrew mouse)
Lineage: Eukaryota; Metazoa; Chordata; Mammalia; Rodentia; Muridae
Description: myocardial infarction associated transcript (MGP_PahariEiJ_G0005301.1)
Source: RNAcentral